AAUCAUGAAUAUUUAUUAAAGAAUGUGUACAUUUGAAUAUACAUGUUUGAGUUAAAGUGCAUUCAGUAAAUCACUUUUAUUUUUACACCAUCAACCGAGAGCUCUCCAUGAAAGCUUUUACUCCACGUACUUCAUCUCUUCUUGAGGUAUUACGUCUUCUGCAUCAUCUUAUGCAACCAUUCACAGGAAGAACAUUGCUACAAUGUUUGCAUUAUCUUUUUGGUCCCACAAGCCAAAAAAAAUUUAAAAAAAACCUUUAAAACCUAUGGGUUUGUAAAUCCAAGUGGCUUCUGUUAAUUCUAAUCAAUGUAUGUGUACCAUAAUCAGAAGAUACAUGUGUGAAAGAGAAGAAAAUCUAUCCUUAGGACAUCAGAGAGCAACAAUAACAGCAAAAUCAAUUUAAGCCAGUGAGUGUAAGUAUACAUAUAUGUGUGUCUCGGCAGGGGAAAUGGGGAGGGAGUAUUGUAUAGGAGUGUAAUCGCACUGAUCAUAACACAUAAAAUAAAAGAGAGGCAGCCAUUGCAUUACCAAACAGAGCAAAUGUGCAAGUACCAUAGUCAUUUGGUUGUCUCUGCACACAAACUGUUUUGAUAACAUACAUCUAGAUUAAAUUUUAUGUAAAUAUAAUUUUUCUACAAGUGUUUGAGUUCUACUCAAGAUAUUGUAACAGAAUUUCACACUUCAUUUAAAAAAAAGCCUUUAAAAUAUAAAGUGUACGUUCAUUCUAGAUGUCUGUUAAAUGUAAGUUGCAGAGAUGUAGAUAGGAGAUAGGUAGAGAUUUUAGAGAGAGAGUUUCUGAGAGUUUUUUUUUUUUCACAUUUUAAGCUACUCACUGGGUGACAAUGUCAUGUUGAGAUUGUCAGUGUUUUGGAAAGGUCAUUUUCCAGGUGCUACUGCUCCAGUCCCCUAAUUUGUCAUAACUGAUGUGAUAGACAGACAGAUUUUACCAUUUGCUUAAGUGUGUGUUAAAUCUUCCAUAUAAUAGGCUGAUAGCAACCCUGUUCAAGAGCUUGAGUGUUCGUACUUUUUAUUGUUUCUUAUCUUUGUGGGCAUUUUCUGCUUCCUCAGAGGCUUUUUUUCCCAAAGUGACUUUUUUUUUUUCUUUUUCUUUGGCUUCCUUGACCUUCUUUAUAGCAUAAAGCUCUUAGUUUGCAAUUUAUUUCAAGGCCACCGUUGCUACCCUCAGUUACGCCAUUUUGUCUGUCUGUGUAUGUGUGUAUGUUUGUUAGAGUGGAGGAGAGGGUGGAGAAGGAGUAGAAAUGUGUAACUUAUUCUGAAAUGAGUUAUAGUUUACAAGUAUUUUCAAAUCUUUGAGAAAAUAAAUAACUUACAAACUUAAUGACCUAUUUCAUCUAUACCUUGUCCUCAUCUGAACAUGUGAGAUGGAUUUAAAAAGAUAAAAUACUUCCCCUGACCCUAGAGGAGCAAAAAACUAUAUGGCAUACAACAAACACCUGUCUGAUAUUAUUGUUGAUGACAUUUGUCCAGCUAAAUAAAGCUUAUUUUUCUCAGGCCACAAAUGUAUUUCUCAAAUCCUGGAAAAAUGAACAGCAAAAAAUAAUUCUCUAUUCUCCCAUCUUCAAAGGCACAUGUCUUAAAGUGUAAGUUUUCCUUUAAUGAAAACAUAGUAAAUGGUAUUUCUUUAAAAUGAUUAGCUGAACAAUGUUUGACUAUGAAACUAUAAGAAAGGUUAAGUGUUUUUGUUUGUUUAAGUGAUUGAUUUAAGAAUUUCAGGACACAGUAGGUUGUUUUUGUCAUUAAAAAUGUUUCCCAACAAAGCAAGUAUGCAAGACUUUAGUUAACUCUUUUUCAUAUCCACAAACUUCUGUUAAAAAAAGAGUUGGGAUACUUUUGUCUGUAUUUCUCUAUUUGAGUUCAUUUACAACCAGUAUUGUCCAAAUGUAAGAACAAUCUGUUGGCCUACAAGACAUCAGACAAAUCCUGUAAUAUUCAAUACAAAAAGUUUUUAUAUUUUUUGAAGCAAAAUGUUGCAUGCCAUGAGAUAUAAAGAGAUUGUACUUCCAGGACAACUAGCAUUCAAUUCUAUGUCUAGAAUUCAGUGAGAAUUACAUGUAUGUUUAUUGCAGCACUAUUUACAACAGCAAACACUUGGAACCAACCCAAAUGCCCAUCAAUGAUAGACUGGAUAAAGAAAAUGUGGCUCAUAUACACCAUGGAAUACUAUGCAGCCAUAAAAAGGAAUGAAUUCAUGUCCUCUGCAGGGACAUGGAUGAAGCUGGAAGCCGUCAUCCUCAGCAAACUAACACAGGAACAGAAAACCAAACGCCACGUGUUCUCACUCAUAAGUGGGAAUUGAGAACACAUGGACACAGGGAGGGGAACGUCACAUACUGGGGCCUGUCGGGUGAUGCAGGACAAGGGGAGGGAGGACAUUAGGACAAAUACCUAAUGCAUACAGGGCAUAAAGCCUGGAUGAUGGGUUGAUAAGUGCAGCAAACCACCAUGGCCACAUGUAUCCUAUGUAACAAACCUGCACAUUCUGCACAUGUAUCCCAAAACUUAAAGUCAAAUGCAAAAAAAAACUAAAUGCCUCUAACAAGACCAAAAAAGAAUUAUGAGUGAGUUAUAAACCUUGGUAAUGUGUUUUCUGCCCCCAAUUUCAGUUUCUUAUUAUAAUGUGCAUCCAUAGUUCUUAUAAGCUUUUUAAAAGAAAGUCCCUAUUUUAAAAGUGUAACCUAAAAUAGCUCAUACCUGAGAAAAUGCUUGCUAUUGUUUUAAACAGUUAAAGAGACAUGACUCAGCUUAUUCUCAUUUAGCUAGUAUUUUAUCCAACAGCUUAAAAAUAAAAAACUAAUUUUUAAUAAGAUACAGAAAAAGGAGAUUUUUUUGCCUGAGCAUAAUUGGGAACAGAAGAAUGGGAAAGCAGAAAUAAACAAUGCUGAACAAAAGCUAAAGUAGAGAAUAGAAGAGGAAAACAAAUAGAAAGCUAUAGUUCAAUUUGGGAUUUCAUAUCACUGUAGAAGAGGUGCAUGGCUGCUAAAUACCUAAAAAUACAUGUAAUAAAAAUGUUUGUUUUUCCAUCUGUCCUUGCUCUUCCCUCUCUCUUCAUUCAUUAAAAAUGGAAGACAAACUAGGUAGAAAUGCUGCAUUACCAUGGGGGUCAGCAAAGUCCUGAUCAUCAAACCUAGCACAGAUUGGGGUUAUGGGAAGGUUAAGUAGUAAAAUGGGAGAAAAUUAACUUGUCAGGAAAAGGCUGUGAAGCUGGCUGGUGAAGGUUGUUAGGUCUCUGUGCAUGGUUACAGCACACUGACUCAGGUGCAUCAAGCAGGGAGAAGGUCACACCCCUUGAGGCUGGAUGACAAUCUGCCGAUUUAGACACUAGCCCUGGGUCAUCCUAGUUUUACUAAGUAAUAUCUCAAACUGGGAGUUGUCUGACAAGGUGUGUAUAUGAGGAUAAAUUCCAGUCAAAUGCAUUCCAGAAACAACUUCUUUUUCUGUUCUGUUAACUGCAGGACAUUUGUUUAAUUAGAUAAUGUGCAAUGAAAUGCAAGAAAAUGCCUAUUGCUGAAUAGUCAUGAGAAGAGAAAAAAUAUUUGCCUUUCUUUUUUAAAACACAGGAUGUUAAAUUCUCUUUAGUUAAGAUGGUAACUUAUUUUCAUGUUCCAUAUCUAAAUGUAUCUCUUUGAAGCACAGGUAGAUUUUUUUAAAGUACAACCUAUUAGAUUGGCAAAAAUGAAGACUUUUAAAACAUAAUAUAUUUGGUAAGGCUGAGGGAGCUAGGUAGUGUCAAAUACUGCUGAUGGGAAAGCAAACUGUUACAUCACCUAUGAAACGAAAUUUAGCACUACACAGCAAAAUUGUAUGUGAAUAUAAGAUCUCAUUUCUAAAAAUCACCCCUAAAAUACACUGCAAAAAAUACAAAGACAGAUAAUCAUGAAGCUAUUCACUGCAGGCUUAUUUGUGAUAGCAGAAGACUGGAAACAACUCAUAUGUCCUUAGUAGGGUUCCAGUUGAAUAAGCAAUGGUACAGUCAAACAAAGGAGCAUGCAGUUCUGAAAGAACAGGAGAAAUAUUUUUAUACAUUGCUGUGCAACUAUCUCCAAAUUUAUUAUUAGGUGAAAAAAGCAAAAAGGAGAAGGCAUGUAUUGUACGCAUCUACUAAUUUAAUAAGGAGGUGAGAUUAAAAUACACAUGUAUUUUUUCAUACUGCAAAUAAAUCAACAUUGAAAUACAAAGUUACUGAUGGGGAAAGGAGGAGGAAGUGGAAAGGACAGAAAUAAAAGUUAGAUUUUCCUGAAUGUAUCUUCUUUUGCAGAUUUGAUUUUGUCACUAUGUAAAUAUUUUACAUUACUAAUUACGUUAAAUCUUUAAAAUGGAAUUCUUAACAAAAAGGAGCAAAUAAAUCUAACUGCAUGGAGGUAGUGACACAACCACACAGGGAAGAGUUAUUUCAAGUGACUUUGGCAUAGCAUAGUUUGAUUAUUUAUUCAUUAUGAGACAGACAUACCUGAAAAACAAAACUUUGGGUAUAGGAAAUUUGGGUAUAAAAAUUACUUUUACUAUUUUUAUUGUUGGUAUUUAUUCUGAGAUUAUUUGCUACCUUUGUGGAAUUGAACAUAUAUUUCAUUAUGUUGGUAUUACUGGUAAUUAGUAUUUUUAGCAUGGGGGAAGGAGAUAGGGACACAAGAUCAAUGAGGUGAGUAAAAACUCUGUAGCUCUGAAUUUGCAUUUGAAAUAUCAGAAGGAAGGAACUCAUACUGCAUUUUAUCCUAAAAGGAACCACAGCUUUUAGAGAAACGAAGGAUUCUGUUUCUGGAAUGAGAAAUGUUCAAGAUGAGCCUGGAAUAUCAUGCCAUGCCAGGAAGUAAAGAGACUUUCAAAACCUGUGGAGUUGUAUCAAAAGAACUAAGGUGUAAUUUAACGAGUCUUUCACUUGUCAAGAUAAUGAAUUUAUACAUGAGUGGAAACAGUAACUGUAAUGAUUGGAAUAUAUAAAAUGUAUUAAUUUCCAUGAAUUCAUAAUAAUAAUAAAGAUAAAAUGGAUUGGAUC
Molecule: long non-coding RNA, 5011 nt
Filed under: Homo sapiens (human)
Lineage: Eukaryota; Metazoa; Chordata; Mammalia; Primates; Hominidae
Description: HSALNT0190235
Source: RNAcentral